GUUCCCGUCGUCUAACGGAUAGGGCAUGACGCUUCUAACGUCACCGUGCGGGUUCGAUUCCUGCCGGGACCA
Molecule: transfer RNA, 72 nt
Filed under: Armatimonadota bacterium
Lineage: Bacteria; Bacillati; Armatimonadota
Description: Armatimonadetes bacterium tRNA-Arg
Rfam family: tRNA
About the family: Transfer RNA (tRNA) molecules are approximately 80 nucleotides in length. Their secondary structure includes four short double-helical elements and three loops (D, anti-codon, and T loops).
Source: RNAcentral